This is a non-coding RNA of Acanthosepion pharaonis, 99 nucleotides long. The record is from the annotation of a GenBank genome assembly. Lineage: Eukaryota; Metazoa; Mollusca; Cephalopoda; Sepiida; Sepiidae.
GUUGAAACAUCGGUUCCCGUAUGAUCACCGAAGUUAAGCAACGUCUAGCCUAGUCAGUACCUAGAUGGGUUACCGCUUGGUAAUACCAAUUGCUGUAAG